GACAGCGAACACGGCUGGGUGCGGGCAGACUCGUGCUGCGGCCGGCGGCGGCUGUGCCCGGGAAGCACGAGGGCAGCCGGCCGCAGCAGCGCCUGCUUCAGUGCGGAGGCAGCAGAGACCGAGGGCGUGGCGGUGACAAGCUGGUUUUGCGGUGAAGCAGGGAAGCAGGACCACGGGGACGAAAAGGCGAGGAGGAGGGAGAAGGGUUGAGCGGACCCUACAGGCCAGCGCCCGCUCCCCCCAAGGUAGCUUUGGAUUGCUGUGAAGGCAGCUCUCAGAGGGAAGCCAUGGGCAAUAUGCUCAGGAAGGUGGAUGAAGUGAAGACCCUGAAAGUGGAAACUUCUGGGGGCUGUGAAAGGAUACUUCCCUGGACUCCAGCUUCUGCCAGACAACUUGGUGGCAAGUUUAAACAUCUCUGAUGGUAAAGGUGGAUAUUAUUGGAACACAAUGUUAAGCCACAGCAAUUAAUGCCACUCAUAAAUCAGGCAUUCCUUUGCUUGUGUGAAGGCAAACCCUGAGUGUUAUCUGCAGAAGCUAUUAAAGAAUUAGAUAUAAUUAGCUCACGACUCUCCACUGUAAAGGUAAGCAGAAUUGUGCUGGCUUCACCUGUUUGCUUGCUUUUUACCUCACAGCUUUAAUAAAAUAAUUUUUUGGUGAAUCUUUUGCCA
RNAcentral lists this long non-coding RNA (668 nucleotides) under Lonchura striata (white-rumped munia). RNAcentral describes it as "domestica (Bengalese finch) lncRNA (ENSLSDG00000015004.1)". Lineage: Eukaryota; Metazoa; Chordata; Aves; Passeriformes; Estrildidae. The record is from RNAcentral.